CUUCCUCACCCUCAUUGAACUUCCCCCACCUUCACCCUCACCCUCAAAAUUUGUUACGCUUCGUCACCCUCAAUGUCCAAAUAUUGGAUUAGUAUUUCAACUCCACUGUCACUCGUUAAAAUUCUGUUGCAAACCCAUGACCUUCAUCACGAUAACGCACAGAAACCAUUACACCGCCACAAGUCUAACACCAUGGGAGUUGGUAAACACAACCUCUAAAAUGCCUUUUCCCUCAUACAUCCUUUGUUCGGCGGGAAAAGGAAGCAUGAGAUUGAGCUAUGAGAGACUGAAGAAUCUCAUUCUCACGAGUCCUCCGCCAUGGUUGGGUUUAUCAAACUCAAAUUUUGUUUAUACUUCUCAUAUAUGAUUCUUCUUCUACUAAUUUGUUGUGCUUUAUUUAUUUUCAUUUGAGAAUUUUUAGGUUUUCAUAUGAUUCUCGUAUCUAGGUUUACCGCAUAAUCUUUCAUGCUCAUAUUCCUCUAUGGUUUUAACAAGGGUGGUGUUACUCUACAUGGAUGGCGGAGUUGUUUCCUUAUCUCUCGCCUUUCAGAAUUUGAACCAACUACUAUUUUCUGAGCGACUCACAACACUUAUAUGAGGUGAUUCUCUUGUGUUUUUGGAAACGCCAUGCUGAUUAAUUAACUAAACAACGAUUUAUCUUCUUGUAUAGUUGUUUGUUUUCUUGUUGAAUGAGGUUUACCUUCUUAUAAAGUUCCACACUUUCCUGGUGAAUUAUAUUCCCUUGUAUUUGGAGAAAUGAAAACACAAAUUUAAGUGAGUAUUGUGAAGUUUUUGAGAGGAAAGUAAGUGAAAGGUCACUGCUGAGAUGUUCUCCUGCCAAAUUUGAUUAAAAAGGUUAAUUGCUUUCUGGUUUUA
Long non-coding RNA from Vicia villosa (hairy vetch), 876 nucleotides. RefSeq lists it as uncharacterized. The record is from RefSeq and is a predicted model, not a curated record. The transcript is spliced from 3 exons. Lineage: Eukaryota; Viridiplantae; Streptophyta; Magnoliopsida; Fabales; Fabaceae.